Molecule: long non-coding RNA, 717 nt
Organism: Selaginella moellendorffii
Lineage: Eukaryota; Viridiplantae; Streptophyta; Lycopodiopsida; Selaginellales; Selaginellaceae
Exons: 2
Source: RefSeq, a predicted model, not a curated record
UUCUUCAUCAACCCGGGGCUGGACAUGGUGAUCCGGCCGAUUCCAGAGCUGGUGGUCAAGAGCAAAGAAGACGAAGAGCAAGAUCGCAAGAGGCCGUGCGUGGAGUUUACUUGGGGGCAGCUGCUAGAAUUCACCCAGAAGCACUAUAGAACCGAUGUCCACACGCUGGACGCGUUUGAGAGCUACUUGAGGAAAACGAGCCAAGCAGCGUGAGGACGGACAGGGAAGAACGAAUGUAAAUUUGCCAAAGAUCAUCGAGCAGAGGAGGAGCCUACAGGAAAGCAAUUAUCAAGGACACUCCCUCUUCAACCCCGGAUUCUCUCGAGGCAUCCCUUCCUGGAACCAGGUGUUUCGAGUUGACGUAGGGCUGUCGAGUGGCUAGCCAACACUGCUCCUGAAGUUUUGGAAAUCUGACACGGCACUAAUGUCUGGUUUCUCUCGAAAGAGAAGGAGAAGCCACCGCAAGCAUCGCCUGGUUUAGCUUCGUUUUUAGAUCGAGGUAAGUCGUAAGUUUGAAUAUCUUUGUAUUCUAUGAUGUGUAGCAAGUGUUGGGAAAGGAUGGGAAAGCUGGCAUCAAUCGGUUUGUUGCAGUAGCCCAUGGAUAAAACUGUAGUUCGUGGAUAGAUGUAUGACAUUAUAGUCAGCAUUCCAGAAUCAAUCCUAAGAUAAAUUUGUUUAGAAUGAUCAUGUUAAAAUAAAUGGUGGCGCAGUUGGUCA